Molecule: ribosomal RNA, 551 nt
Filed under: uncultured Diversispora
Lineage: Eukaryota; Fungi; Glomeromycota; Glomeromycetes; Diversisporales; Diversisporaceae
Description: SSU rRNA
Rfam family: Eukaryotic small subunit ribosomal RNA
Source: RNAcentral
UUGGAGGGCAAGUCUGGUGCCAGCAGCCGCGGUAAUUCCAGCUCCAAUAGCGUAUAUUAAAGUUGUUGCAGUUAAAAAGCUCGUAGUUGAACUUCGGGGUUUACUCAUUGGUCAGGCUUAGGUGUCUGCACUGGUGAGAUGGAUCUCUACCUUCUGAGGAACUUUCAUGCCAUUUGUUUGGUGUGAUGGGAAAUCAGGGCUGUUACUUUGAAAAAAUUAGAGUGUUUAAAGCAGACUAUCGUCUGAAUACAUUAGCAUGGAAUAAUGAAAUAGGACGGACUGAUUCUAUUUCGUUGGUUUCUAGGAUCACCGUAAUGAUUAAUAGGGAUAGUUGGGGGCAUUAGUAUUCAAUUGUCAGAGGUGAAAUUCUUGGAUUUAUUGAAGACUAACUACUGCGAAAGCAUUUGCCAAGGAUGUUUUCAUUAAUCAAGAACGAAAGUUAGGGGAUCGAAGACGAUCAGAUACCGUCGUAGUCUUAACCAUAAACUAUGCCGACUAGGGAUCGGACGAAGUUAAUUUUAUAAUGACUCGUUCGGCGCCUUACGGGAAAC